Ogataea philodendri is the source of this 74-nucleotide non-coding RNA. The record is from the annotation of a RefSeq genome assembly. Lineage: Eukaryota; Fungi; Ascomycota; Pichiomycetes; Pichiales; Pichiaceae.
AGCAUAAUAGUGUAACAUGGUUAACAUAAUAGCCUCAUAAGCUAUUGAUUUACGUUCAAAUCGUAAUUAUGUAC